UGAAAGUGCUCAAUGCUGAGGUGGUCA
This 27-nucleotide small RNA is filed under the name Bombyx mori (domestic silkworm). RNAcentral describes it as "ovarian small RNA-30508". The record is from RNAcentral. Lineage: Eukaryota; Metazoa; Arthropoda; Insecta; Lepidoptera; Bombycidae.